UACAGAGGGUGCAAGCGUUACUCGGAAUUACUGGGCGUAAAGGGCUCGUAGGCGGCCAACUAAGUCAGACGUGAAAUCCCCAGGCUCAACCUGGGAACUGCGUCUGAUACUGGAUGGCUUGAAUCCGGGAGAGGGAUGCAGAAUUCCAGGUGUAGCGGUGAAAUGCGUAGAUAUCUGGAGGAAUACCGGUGGCGAAGGCGGCAUCCUGGACCGGCAUUGACGCUGAGGAGCGAAAGCCAGGGGAGCAAACGGG
This 253-nucleotide ribosomal RNA is filed under the name uncultured bacterium. RNAcentral's name for it is "partial 16S ribosomal RNA". It matches the Rfam family "Bacterial small subunit ribosomal RNA", at positions 524 to 776 of the family's 1533-position model. The record is from RNAcentral.